GAACAUGGAGGAGGCGCACGGGUCGCGGGCUCCUGGAGGGCGGAGUUAACGCAGGGGAGGCGUCGGUCCUUGUCAUCAUGCUCGAUCCCGCUGGAUCGAGACGACGGCUGCAGCGGGGGAUGGCACUCGGCGAAGUAGGGAAGGCAGAGAAACGGGACUCCGGCGACAAGGUGCAGCGGCGGAGCUUCGAGCUCGGUUGGCAGUGGGCUUGCCGGCGUCGGGGAUGGUGCAGGAGAGGAGAGGGCCUGCGAGCGAGACGGGGGCGCUGUGGAGGGAGGAGGAGCUCGCGGCAGGAGGGAGGCGCCGCAGCGGCGUGGGAACGGGGUAGCAGAGGGGCGCGGCAGCGCUGGAGAGGUCAGGGCGGCGGGUAUGGUUAGGAUUGGGCACGGGCUCCUCCCUGGCUCGAAGUGGAAGGGAGGAAAGGGAGGCGAGGGGAGGAAGAGCGAGGGGAAUCGAUGGAGGUGGGGUUUUCCUGUGGGUUCUCCUGGCGGCGGGGUGGAAACGAGAGAAGGCUGGGGGUUUCGGGAGAGGGUUAGGGUUAGGUGGGGCGGCUGAGCCUAAAGGGCCAGCCUAGCUAGGAGGCUAAGGUGGCUAGCUGGGCUCUGCUCUCCCUCUAAAGAAAGAAAAGAAAAAAACAGAGAAAAGAAAGAAAAGAAAGAGAGGUUAAGGGAAGAAGUUGGACACGCGAAUAAUUUUCCGGGACUCACAAAAAUGUGCUUGUUCCGAGAAAAUAAGAAUGACCAUGAUUGCAAGAUUUAAAUUCAAAUGCAUUUGAAUUUAAUUCAACUCAUUUGAAAGGAGUAGGAAUCCGAAGUUUCCAAAAAUGUUGAACAUUUAGGAAGAGCCUCGAUAAAACGAUUAAAAAAUAUGAGGACAAGUCGGAGACCAAGAAUUGAGAUAACAAAGGCAUUGGGAUUAGUUUGCAAGUGUGUCAACGGUUAAAUCCAAAAGAAUGGAAUAUUUAAUAAUAGCUCCAUAAUUAUUAGGAGGAUAUGUUAUAAAGAUAAAUCACCAGGUGAGUUCCCUCAAUUUAAAUAGAUCAAAGAUCUAUGCAUUUUAUUUAGUGAGUUUUAAAACGGGUUGCAUGAUGACAUGAUGCAAAGAUGAAAUGCAACAGACGAAACAAAAACACACAACAAAACCGGGAAACCCUGGAAGGCAUCUAAAGCUCCGGUCUUGGGGCGUCACAACACUCCACCACUACGAGAGGAUCUCGUCCCGAGAUCUAGAAUGGCACCGGAGGGAAAAUGGAAGAGAAAAAGAAGAGGUAAAACUAAGUUGCUUCUUUGACAAACGAGUGAAACGAAAGAACCUUGAAAAGUUGAACAAAUUGAAAGAAAGAAUACAACGGAUAUAAAUGAAGUUGAAAGCACUCUGUUAGCAAAGAGGAACAAGGAAGAACAACUAUGGGAAGCACUCCGGUUGAGAGGGGGUGCAAGGCUUGAUAAGGCGAAAAGAACUUGAGCAAAAAGGACAGAACACCCCGGUUAAAUGGAUAAGCAAAAGAAAGAAGAAUGAUCUUGACAAAACAAAAUGAUGGUUUGAAAAGAGCAACAUCGCAAUGCCUCCGGAAGAGAGAAAUAGAAGAUAGAUCAUUGAGACAAAAGAAUGUAGAAGAAAAUGCCAACUUCUGCUACAAAAGAGCUUGAAAAGGUAUCCUUAGGAGAAGGGUCGAACGGAGUUUUUGGAAAACCAACAACGAAAAGGAUAAGCUUGAUAUGGUCUUAUGGAAUACAUCUCAAAUUAUGAGGUGACAACAUGCCACUCACGGGAAAAGAAUUGGAUUGGUAAGAACAAGGAGACGAGAAGCUAUCUCACCGGGAGGAUAAAAGAAGAACUUGGAUCAUUGAUAAAUACCAUAAGAGCGACAAUCCUUAAAGGAAAGCUUUAUGUGAAAUAUAGCCCAAGAUAACUCCAAUCAAGAGAUUGGUGGAUUUAAAAUACCUCAUUCUUGAUAACUUGUGAAUCACGAAGCACAAAGGGAAAUAUCAAGAAUGACAUAGCACCACCUCAAAAGAUAUGCGUGAAAGAAUUGCACUCCGGAUUGGAAGAUGAAGAAAAACUUGAGCUCCUUAGAAAAGAAUGUUGAUGAACGCUUCGAGAAGAAAUUGAAUCCUUGAUCAACCAUCAUGUAAAGCCUCCGUGGAGAACUCUGGUAAGAAAAGAAUGAACAACCAAAAUGAAGGAUAAAAGAAUAAGGUUGAAGCCUUGCAAUGAUUUAGAUGAAUCUUCGUGAUGAUAUAAUUGAAAUAACUUUGAGCUCCGGAAAGAAAGAUGGACAACUUGAACCGAGAAUUUGAUGAACCUCCGAAAUAAGGAAUUGAAUCAUUUGGAUGAAACAAAGAAUAAGAAUUACGUUGUGCGCAUCCUUCACCAAUUUAGAUUGAUGACAAGCCACAGAUUUGGCACACUACUAAUUCUCGUAGCAAGGAUUAAGAGAGAUAUAACAUAAACUUGGGAAGGUCUUCAACGAACCACCGGUAGGAUUGGAACAUCGAAUAAAUUGAUACGAUAACAAAGGAUGAGAAAUCUUGAAUGAACCACCAUAAGAAUUUGAAAUGAACGAAGUAAAGAUAAAGAAACACCGGGAAGAAUUAUAAAAAGAAUGAAGAUACUUGAGAGAAUUGAGCUCCAUGAGAACGAAGAGAUUACGAGCUGAUUAGAGAAUCCUUGAUUUAAGCAGCGGUAUGAUUUAGAGUAUGAGAGCUGAAAGCUAGAAUGAAUAGAUCUUAGAUGAUGGGCUCCGGAGAAUCAAACUGAAAUGACUCCUGAAUUGCUUCGGAUGGGUGAAAAGAAUUCCCACAAUGAAAACAAUUAUGAGAGGAAGACAUCAAGCUAGAACCACGAAUCUUGAAGAGAAUGGAUAAGAUUAAAGAGAAAAUCUUCUUCGGUCUUCAAAAUCCAAGAAUGAUGACGAGAAACACCACCAUGAAUUAUUUAGAUGAUCCAGAAUGAAGAAUGGAAAGGUUGAGCCAACGAUGCAAAGAAUUUGAAAGAUCUUGGAGAAAAACAUUUGACUGAUGACAAUUCAUUCUUACGUCAAACUUUGAAAGAAUUUGAGGAUAGCUCCGGGAGAAUAAGAAGAGUCAGGUAAGAUCCUGAGAAAAGACCUGUGGGUUAGGGCCCACUCAAGAGAAACACCGUUGAACGAUUUUAAAAGAGAGAUUACAUCGGUUGAAAUAGAUGGCUUGAAAGAGGUAACAUCCUCGCAAAAGCUGGAACGAAAGCAGAGUGGAAACACGAAUCUCCGAGAUAUCUUGAGCACUCCGGAACAAUAAAUAGCGAGAGGUGAAUGAUUAAGAAUUGCACCUGCAUGAGAAAGCAUUGAAACGAGGAAAGGAUAUGGCCAACAAAGCUUGACUUGAAACCACCGGAUAUGAAAAGAAUGAAGAAUGACGAACGAGUAGAGCAUCUUCAUGAGAAACACCGGGUAAAAACAUGAAGGAAAAAGAAUUUAGAGACUUCCAUCAAUAAAAUGGAUAGUGAUUAAGAAAUCUGAAUCCUUGAAGAAAAAGGGUGGGUGGGGGGGAAAACAAUGGCAACUUGGGGACGGAUGAAGCAAACACCGUUGAGAAGAACUAAUACUUGAUCUUGUGGUUGUUGAAAUGAUCGGAUCCACUUGAAGAGAAACACGCCGGUGAAAAUGAUUGACAUGACAAUCUCGAUUAUCAAGAAGGAUUGGUAUUCACAUCGGAGUAUGAGAACACCGUUUAGGAAAGGUAUGGAAUCAACACUUGACUUCGAAGUAACUCGAAUACCACAACUCAAAACAAAAACAAAGGGUUGGCUUGCAGAAUAAGCCGGAACAAACAUAUGAUAGAGAUUUCGUCCGAAGUUUUCGUGGUGGGGCCUACACAGGCUCGAUCGUACAGCACCAUCAUGUACAAGUCAGUGCACAUGACAUACGAAGCGUCCCCGAGUCGGCACAGCCAAGGACUCUUUAAGACACAACGAGACCAUAGUAAAACCAACCGUGAAUAGGCGAACCACUAGACGUCGAACCCCAAUUUCAUAUCAUACAUCUGUCGAAAAGAUAUCCUAAGAGCUACUUGAAUUCCCACUUAUGAACUCCCGAAAUUUUCCGGUUAUGCAAUCAGGUGUUGGGGAUACAGGGGAAGCAUAAUAUCUCACCCAAACUAGCAAAUCCUACAUCCAGCUGUAUCCAUCCUUCAACACAUAACCAAGAAACCUUCGGAAAUCAUCUACAUCAACCUUCGAAAAGCAUCCGUUAUACGAGUUAUGGCAAUACUCCCGAACUCCUGCCCCAGUACUGGGUGGCGUCGAGGAUUAUCUCACCAACAACUACAUAAAAGAGAUUUUCGAUGUCGAUGAAACUAAACUCAGGUAUUCCAGAACUGCAACAAUAAAAUUGUGAUGACAACACCUCGGAGCUCAACUCCCCGGGACACUGCCACAACCCCUAAAUGACAGGAGGCACCAAGAACAAUGUUCUCAUCACAAAACCAUCGGACCGAUUCCAAGAUACCCGCGUGAUCCUAAUUUUUUUUAGUGAAAUUUGAGAAGAGAAGAGUCAAAACUCUAUGUCAGGAUGCCUCACCAGAGCGACGAAGGGACUGAGGAGUAAAAAGAAGUCCUAACUCUCCGAUAUAUAUAAUUUCUAAAUGACUCAAAACAUUUCUAGACUCAAUAACGCCAGCGAUUCGAUCAAGCAGGGGGCUCCUAAGGUCGGGGAAGGCUCUGAUUACCAACUUGUAACGCCCUCGAUGCGGCUAUAUCUCUCACGUGUCGAAGCACGACUUAGAGGCAUAACCGCAUUGAAAGCCUUGUCGCAAGUGAGGUAAUCUUCACACAACCCAUGUAACACAAUAAGGAAAAGAGAUACAUAGUUGGCUUACAAUCGCCACUUCACAUGAUGCAUGAUUAAAGCAUUACAUCAUCCAAAUACAAUCAAGGUCCGAGUACAGAACCAAAAUAAAAGAAGACUACCCCAAAUGCUACACAGAUCCCCGAUCGACCCCAACUGGGCUCCACUACUGAUCAACUAGAACAAAACGACACAAAGGACAAGAUCUUCAAUGAGCUCCUCCUUGAGCUUGGUUGCGGCACCUGCUCGGUAACAUCGGCACCUGCAAACUAGUUUUGGAAGUAUCUGUGACUCACGGGGACUCAGCAAUCUCACACCCUCGCGAUCAAGACUAUUUAAUCUUAUAUGUAAGGUAAAAGGUAUGAGGUGGAGCUGCAGCAAGCGACUAGCAUAUAUGGUGGCUAACAUAUGCAAAAGAGAGCGAGAAGAGAAGGCAAAGCACGGUCGAACAACUAUGAUCAAGAAGUGAUCCUAGAACAACCUACGUCAAGCAUUACUCCAACACCGUGUUCACUUCCCGGACUCCACCGAGAAGAGACCAUCACGGUAACACACGCGGUUGGUGCAUUUUAAUUAAGGUCAACUUCAAGUUUUCUACAACCGGACAUUAACAAAUUCCCAUCUGCCCAUAACCGCGGGCACGGCUUUCAAAAGUUCAAAUCCCUGCAGGGGUGUCCCAACUUAGCCCAUCACAAGCUCUCACGGUCAACGAAGGAUAUUCCUUCUAGCGGGAAGACCCGACCAGACUCGGAAUCCCGGUUACAAGACAUUUCGACAAUGGUAAAACAAGACCAGCAAAGCCACCCAGAUGUGCCGACAAAUCCCGAUAGGAGCUGCACAUAUCUUGUUCUCAAGGCACACCGGAUGAGCCAGACAUCGGGUAAGCCAGCCCAGAGUUGCCCCUGGUAGCCUCGGACAUCGCUCAGUUGGACCAACACUUAGAGAAGCACUGGCCCGGGGGGGUUAAAAUAAGAUGACCCUUGAGCCGGCCGACUCAAGGGAAAGAAAAGGCUAGGUGGCAAAUUGUAAAACCAAUGUUGGGCCUUCCUGGAGGAGUUUUAUUCAAGGCGAACUGUCAAGGGGUUCCCAUUAUAACCCAACCGUGUAAGGAACGCAAAAUCCGGGAACAUAACACCGAUAUGACAGAAACUAGGGCGGCAAGAGUGGAACAAAACACCAAGCAUAAGGCCGAGCCUUCCACCCUUUACCAAGUAUAUAGAUGCAUUAAUUAAAUAAGAGAUAUUGUGAUAUCCCAACAAGUAAACAUGUUCAUACAAGGAACAACAUCUCCAUGUUCCAACAAGGAACAAACUUCAAUCUUCACCUGCAACUAACAACGCUAUAAGAGGGGCUGAGCAAAGCGGUAACAUAGCCAAACAACGGUUUGCUAGGACAAGGUGGGUUAGAGGCUUGGUUUAACAAUAUGGGAGGCAUGAUAAGCAAGUGGUAGGUAUCGCAGCAUAGGCAUAGCAAAAGAGCAAGCAACUAGCAAGCAAAGAUAGAAGUGAUUUCGAGGGUAUGGUCAUCUUGCCUGAGAUCCCGCAAGGAAGAAGAACGAGUCCAUGAAGAAGACAAACAGACGUAGUCGAACGGAUCCUCACAACUCCAGAACGAAACCGAAGCUAACGCGAGAAGCAACCCGAAAAGAAGCAAACAACAUAGUAAACAACCAUCACAUAACAUGGCAUGAUGCGCAAACAAGUAUGAUGCAUGUCCGGUUUAAAUAUGCAUGGCAUGGCAAAGUGCACAAACAAUACUACAAAUUAAGUGGAUCUCAAUAUGCAAUGAGUUGCAUAUUGACGGAACACCAUAUGACUUAUUUAGUUCUCUCUCGGUUAUGUAUCCAACAAUAUUAAAUGUUAUUAAGCAUGGCAAGAGGUGAAGCAUAAAAGAAACUAUCUAACUAAGCAAUUUAAAUGGGGCCGGAUAUAACAAACAAGAAAUCCGGUAAAUCCCCAUAUGCAUUAGCAAUUUAAUGCAACAAAAAUUUAAACAUUUUAAUUGUUGUUACUAUGAUGCGGAUGAAAUGGGCAUGUUUUAUGCAAGUUUUAAAGAAAAUUUUGAUAAGAGCAUUAUAUGGAGCAUAUGUCAUCGUGGCGGAAAAAAAGGAUGCCACGGCGACGAUAACAGAAACGGUAUCACGGCAACGUUCUGGUUCCAGAAACUCGAUUGAGAAGCCGGUGGAAAAGAACAAGUGUGACGGGAGUGUGUCAUGCGAAGAACUGUGGGGUGCUCCCGGUUACCGGGUUCCCACGUGUCGACGGCAUGGCAACGAGGAGGAACAACUAAGGUUCACGAGCGAAUACAACAACCAACCAUGCAUCUCAUACAACACAAGCAUUCGGUCCACGAGCAUCGUCUCGGGGUUAUACCUUCGAAGCGUGCAAGCGGGAUAGUUCUUGUUCAGUGCAAAGUACAUGAAGUAGACGUUCUCACGACGGCGGUAGUGGAAGUAAUCGUUCUCGCAACGGCGGUAGUGGAAGUAGUCGUUCUCGCACGGCGGUAGUGGUACAUGUUUAUCGGUAGUCGAACAUGACGAUCCGGAGAGGGUACUUGGCAACAUGCACGUCGCCGGUAGUUGUACACAAUCGUUGUCAGACUUGACGGGUUCGAGGGCUCCAGCCAUCAUGGUACUUGGCGCACCACCGUGUAGUCAUACCUUUAAAGAGUAACUUGGCCAUCCGAAGGUAUACUUGGAAAACAACGGUCGUCGUGGUACUCAGCGGUCCACGAAAUCAUUCUCGUAGGUCUUGACAUUUCGUUCGGUACUCAUUCGGGCAACCGUGUGAUCUUGUUGGUGAUGUACUUGGCGAAACUCCACGGAGACGGUCUUGGCAGGCAACGAGCAGCGACGCGGUGCACCGACGCAGCAACGCAGGCGGGUGCUCGAGCAGGACUUGGCACCGGUCGUCUUCCUCACGUUCUCCCACGACAAAGGCAGGGGCGAAAGGAUAGGCACGGGCAGGAGGAAGUCGACGCCGGCGCUGGUCGGCGCUACGGCGGCGUCCUGCUUGUCUUGGAUGGCGGCAACGCGCAGGAGAAGGCGGAGGGCAGCAGCGGGUAACGGCGGCCAUGGGAGGCGUCCUUGGUGCUCCCGUGGCGACGCGGUGGGGCGGGCAAGCUCGACCCUCGCGCCCAUGGCGGCAAGGAGGAAGAACAUGGAGGAGGCGCACGGGUCGCGGGCUCCUGGAGGGCGGAGUUAGCGCAGGGGAGGCGUCGGUCCUUGUCAUCAUGCUCGAUCCCGCUGGAUCGAGACGACGGCUGCAGCGGGGGAUGGCACUCGGCGAAGUAGGGAAGGCAGAGAAACGGGACUCCGGCGACAAGGUGCAGCGGCGGAGCCUCGAGCUCGGUUGGCAGUGGGCUUGCCGGCGUCAGGGAUGGUGCAGGAGAGGAGAGGGCCUGCGAGCGAGACGGGGGCGCUGCGGAGGGAGGAGGAGCUCGCGGCAGGAGGGAGGCGCCGCAGCGGCGCGGGAACGGGGUAGCAGAGGGGCGCGGCAGCGCUGGAGAGGUCAGGGCGGCGGGUCUGGUUAGGAUUGGGCACGGGCUCCUCCCUGGCUCGAAGUGGAAGGGAGGAAAGGGAGGCGAGGGGAGGAAGAGCGAGGGGAAUAGAUGAAGGUGGGGUUUUCC
Molecule: long non-coding RNA, 8452 nt
Filed under: Triticum aestivum (bread wheat)
Lineage: Eukaryota; Viridiplantae; Streptophyta; Magnoliopsida; Poales; Poaceae
Description: long non-coding RNA (TAES_LNC010770)
Source: RNAcentral